GACGAACGCUGGCGGUGUGCUUAACACAUGCAAGUCGAACGGCAAGGCCCUGCUUUUGUGGGCUGCUCGAGUGGCGAACGGGUGCGUAACACGUGAGUAACCUGCCCUUGACUUUGGGAUAACUUCAGGAAGCUGGGGUUAAUCCCGGAUAGGAGCUCCUGUUGCAUUGUGGGGGUUGGAUCGUUUCGGCGGUUGGGGAUGGAUUCGCGGCUUAUCAGUUUGUUGGUGGGGUAGUGGCUUACCAAGGCUUUGACGGGUAGCCGGCCUGAGAGGGUGACCGGCCACAUUGGGACUGAGAUACGGCCCAGACGCCUACGGGAGGCAGCAGUGGGGAAUAGUGCACAAUGGGCGGAAGCCUGAGGCAGCAACGCCGCGGGCGGGAUGACGGCCUUCGGGUUGUAAACCGCUUUCGCCUGUGACGAAGCGUGAGUGACGGUAAUGGGUAAAGAAGCACCGGCUAACUACGUG
RNAcentral lists this ribosomal RNA (468 nucleotides) under uncultured bacterium. Its description in RNAcentral is "partial 16S ribosomal RNA". It matches the Rfam family "Bacterial small subunit ribosomal RNA", at positions 28 to 507 of the family's 1533-position model. The record is from RNAcentral.